This 1183-nucleotide ribosomal RNA is filed under the name uncultured bacterium. RNAcentral describes it as "bacterial SSU rRNA". It matches the Rfam family "Bacterial small subunit ribosomal RNA", at positions 101 to 1310 of the family's 1533-position model. The record is from RNAcentral.
AACGGGUGAGGAACACGUGAAGAAUCUGCCCCUCAUUGGGAUACUUCGGGAACCGAGGCUAUACCGAAUAUUGAAACAUAAGUGGCAUCACUGAGUUUUGAAAGUUUCCGAUGAGGGAUGACUUCGCGGCCUAUCAGCUAGUUGGUGAGGUACCGGCUCACCAAGGCAACGACGGGUAGCCGGCCUGAGAGGGCGAACGGCCACACUGGGACUGAGACACGGCCCAGACUCCUACGGGAGGCAGCAGUAGGGAAUAUUGCGCAUGGAGGAAACUCUGACGCAGCGACGCCGCGUGCGGGAUGAGGCCUUCGGGUUGUAAACCGCUUUCAGUAGGGAAGAAGCGAAAGUGACGGUACCUACAAAAGAAGCACCGGCUAACUAUGUGCCAGCAGCCGCGGUAAUACAUAGGGUGCAAGCGUUGUCCGGAAUUAUUGGGCGUAAAGAGCUCGUAGGUCGUUUGUUACGUCGGAUGUGAAAAUCUGAGGCUCAACCUCAGACCUGCAUUCGAUACGGGCAAACUAGAGUUUGGUAGGGGAGACUGGAAUUCCUGGUGUAGCGGUGGAAUGCGCAGAUAUCAGGAGGAACACCAACGGCGAAGGCAGGUCUCUGGGCCAAUACUGACACUGAGGAGCGAAAGCGCGGGGAGCGAACAGGAUUAGAUACCCUGGUAGUCCGCGCCGUAAACGGUGGGUACUAGUUGUGGGAACCUUCCACGGUUUCUGCGACGACGCUAACGCAUUAAGUACCCCGCCUGGGGAGUACGAUCGCAAGAUUAAAACUCAAAGGAAUUGACGGGGCCCCGCACAAGCAGCGGAGCAUGCGGCUCAAUUCGAUGCAACGCGAAGAACCUUACCAAGGCUUGACAUAUAGCGAAAAGUGGCAGAGAUGUCAUGUCCGCAAGGGCGCUAUACAGGUGGUGCAUGGUUGUCGUCAGCUCGUGUCGUGAGAUGUUGGGUUAAGUCCCGCAACGAGCGCAACCCUCGUUCUGUGUUACCAGCAUUUAGUUGGGGACUCACAGGAGACUGCCGGGGUUAACUCGGAGGAAGGUGGGGAUGACGUCAAAUCCUCAUGCCCCUUAUGUCUUGGGCUGCACGCAUGCUACAAUGGCCGGUACAGAGGGCUGCGAAACCGUAAGGUGGAGCGAAUCCCAAAAAGCCGGUCUCAGUUCAGAUUGAGUCUGCAA